This 73-nucleotide transfer RNA is filed under the name Dermacentor andersoni. RNAcentral describes it as "transfer RNA valine (anticodon AAC)". It matches the Rfam family "tRNA". Rfam says of the family: Transfer RNA (tRNA) molecules are approximately 80 nucleotides in length. Their secondary structure includes four short double-helical elements and three loops (D, anti-codon, and T loops). Lineage: Eukaryota; Metazoa; Arthropoda; Arachnida; Ixodida; Ixodidae. The record is from RNAcentral.
GUGCCUGUGGUGUAGUGGUUAUCACAUCCGCCUAACACGCGGAAGGUCCCAGGUUCGAUCCCUGACAGGGACA